UACAGAGGUCUCAAGCGUUGUUCGGAUUCAUUGGGCGUAAAGGGUGCGUAGGUGGCGAGGUUAGUCAGGUGUGAAAUCUCGGGGCUCAACCCCGAAACUGCACUUGAUACUGCCUUGCUAGAGUACUGGAGAGGAGAUUGGAAUUUACGGUGUAGCAGUGAAAUGCGUAGAUAUCGUAAGGAAGACCAGUGGCGAAGGCGGCCUGCUGGGCAGUAGCUGACACUGAGGCGCGACAGCGUGGGGAGCAAACAGG
Molecule: ribosomal RNA, 253 nt
Filed under: uncultured bacterium
Lineage: Bacteria
Description: partial 16S ribosomal RNA
Rfam family: Bacterial small subunit ribosomal RNA
Source: RNAcentral